CCUACGGGAGGCAGCAGUGGGGAAUAUUGGACAAUGGGCGCAAGCCUGAUCCAGCAAUGCCGCGUGAGUGAUGAAGGCCUUAGGGUCGUAAAGCUCUUUUACCAGGGAUGAUAAUGACAGUACCUGGAGAAUAAGCUCCGGCUAACUCCGUGCCAGCAGCCGCGGUAAUACGGAGGGAGCUAGCGUUGUUCGGAAUUACUGGGCGUAAAGCGUACGUAGGCGAUUAUUCAAGUCAGAGGUGAAAGCCCGGGGCUCAACCCCGGAACGGCCUUUGAAACUAGGUAGCUAGAAUCUUGGAGAGGUCAGUGGAAUUCCGAGUGUAGAGGUGAAAUUCGUAGAUAUUCGGAAGAACACCAGUGGCGAAGGCGACUGACUGGACAAGUAUUGACGCUGAGGUACGAAAGCGUGGGGAGCAAACAGGAUUAGAUACCCUGGUAGUCCACGCCGUAAACGAUGAUAACUAGCUGUUCGGGCACUUGGUGCUUGAGUGGCGCAGCUAACGCAUUAAGUUAUCCGCCUGGGGAGUACGGUCGCAAGAUUAAAACUUAAAUGAAUUGACGG
Molecule: ribosomal RNA, 561 nt
Filed under: uncultured bacterium
Lineage: Bacteria
Description: bacterial SSU rRNA
Rfam family: Bacterial small subunit ribosomal RNA
Source: RNAcentral